AUUGAACGCUGGCGGCAUGCUUUACACAUGCAAGUCGGACGGCAGCGGGGGUGCUUGCACCUGCCGGCGAGUGGCGAACGGGUGAGUAACAUAUUGGAAUGUACCGAGUAGUGGGGGAUAACCAAUCGAAAGAUUGGCUAAUACCGCAUACGUCCUGAGGGGGAAAGCAGGGGAUCUUCGGACCUUGCGCUAUUUGAGCAGCCAAUAUCUGAUUAGCUAGUUGGUGGGGUAAAGGCCCACCAAGGCGACGAUCAGUAGCGGGUCUGAGAGGAUGAUCCGCCACACUGGGACUGAGACACGGCCCAGACUCCUACGGGAGGCAGCAGUGGGGAAUUUUGGACAAUGAGGGCAACCCUGAUCCAGCCAUGCCGCGUGUCUGAAGAAGGCCUUCGGGUUGUAAAGGACUUUUGUUAGGGAAGAAAAAGGAAGUGUUAAUACCACUUUUUGCUGACGGUACCUAAAGAAUAAGCACCGGCUAACUACGUGCCAGCAGCCGCGGUAAUACGUAGGGUGCGAGCGUUAAUCGGAAUUACUGGGCGUAAAGCGAGCGCAGACGGUUACUUAAGCAGGAUGUGAAAUCCCCGGGCUCAACCUGGGAACUGCGUUCUGAACUGGGUAGCUAGAGUAUGUCAGAGGGGGGUAGAAUUCCACGUGUAGCAGUGAAAUGCGUAGAGAUGUGGAGGAAUACCGAUGGCGAAGGCAGCCCCCUGGUAUAAUACUGACGUUCAUGCUCGAAAGCGUGGGGUAGCAAACAGG
This 756-nucleotide ribosomal RNA is filed under the name uncultured Neisseriaceae bacterium. RNAcentral describes it as "bacterial SSU rRNA". It matches the Rfam family "Bacterial small subunit ribosomal RNA", at positions 28 to 776 of the family's 1533-position model. The record is from RNAcentral. Lineage: Bacteria; Pseudomonadati; Pseudomonadota; Betaproteobacteria; Neisseriales; Neisseriaceae.